Molecule: long non-coding RNA, 1076 nt
Organism: Lates calcarifer (barramundi perch)
Lineage: Eukaryota; Metazoa; Chordata; Actinopteri; Centropomidae
Exons: 4
Source: RefSeq, a predicted model, not a curated record
UAUGGGAAACGUAAAACAAAGGCCCUCAAAAUGCUUGCGGCUUCCGGUUGCUCAGGUCGAUCAAACCGAGAAAUCAUGAGAAGCUUUAAUCAAGAACCAAGAGUUGAUAUUUAGGAAGAAAAGGCAAGAAAUUGACUCAUAAAACACUUUCAAACAAACGGAUUCCACCCGGAAGUUGAGUCGGAUAGGCCUCGUGUGUGACUGCUUCCUGAAAGCAUGUGGUGCAGAGGUGGUCAGCCGAGAACCCAGAGAAUAUCACGGGAGAAGUUACACUAUCGACAAGGUUAUAUGUUCCAACUGCCAAGCCUGUGGUCUUCACUAGAAAUGUUGCAGAAGCCUCUCGUCAGCCUGAUGUACUGUAUGUGGCAUCAGUGCCCACAAGCAAGAUGAGGUUAAUCUGCACCUGUGUGCUGGGGACAAGGGAUUGCUGCCUUCUCAGUGACUGAGAUGAUGUUACACUGGACAGGAGACAUGAUGACUACUUCCACGUCCAGGCACAAGUUUGUGGUGUGGAACUAUCAUGACAUUUUUGCUGAAAGAAUUUUUCAGUGAUAUGAUUUCCAAAGUUGAGAAUUUUUUCAGCAUUAUUAUACCUCCAGAAGGUUUGGGACAGCAAGUAGUAAUAGUAGUAAUAUGUUGACAUGUAGUAUGACAGAGGCCCACAUCAGUUCAGGCACUAGAUAAAAUACCUUAACUCUUUCUAAAGGUAGCUAGCUAACUAGCUGCUGGACGACUACUUUAAAUUAAGUGGUGUUAUUUUUGAAUGAGUUUUCUCCACUAAUGACUUCUACAGUGUACAUGUAGGGGGAUAAGAGAAGAAAUAAUGUAUUUAAUUCAUUACUGCCCUGUCUUUGGUUCAUUUAAGAUCUGAAUGUAUCAUGUUAAGACAGUAAUGUAAUGCUGUAUUCCUCGGCUGCUUCAAAGAAGUACACAGAAGCAUCAGAAUUGUAUUCUAUUUAAUAUAGUUUAGUUGAGUAAUAUAGCUAAGUAAUUGAUUAAGUAAUAUAGUUAAUAUAUACUAAGUGAUUUAAUUAAGAAAUUGUUAAGUAAGCAAGUAAUGAAUAGUUCAAGUUCUU